This 468-nucleotide ribosomal RNA is filed under the name uncultured bacterium. Its description in RNAcentral is "partial 16S ribosomal RNA". It matches the Rfam family "Bacterial small subunit ribosomal RNA", at positions 28 to 507 of the family's 1533-position model. The record is from RNAcentral.
GACGAACGCUGGCGGCGUGCUUAACACAUGCAAGUCGAACGGAAAGGCCCUGCUUUUGUGGGGUGCUCGAGUGGCGAACGGGUGAGUAACACGUGAGUAACCUGCCCUUGACUUUGGGAUAACUUCAGGAAACUGGGGCUAAUACCGGAUAGGAGCUCCUGCUGCAUGGUGGGGGUUGGAAAGUUUCGGCGGUUGGGGAUGGACUCGCGGCUUAUCCGCUUGUUGGUGGGGUAGUGGCAUACCAAGGCUUUGACGGGUAGCCGGCCUGAGAGGGUGACCGGCCACAUGGGGACUGAGAUACGGCCCAGACUCCUACGGGAGGCAGCAGUGGGGAGUAUUGCACAAUGGGCGGAAGCCUGAGGCAGCAACGCCGCGUGCGGAAUGACGGCCUUCGGGUUGUAAACCGCUUUCGCCUGUGACGAAGCGUGAGUGACGGUAAUGGGUAAAGAAGCACCGGCUAACUACGUG